AUGAACGCUGGCGGCGUGCCUCAUACAUGCAAGUCGAGCGAACAGACGAGGAGCUUGCUCCUCUGACGUUAGCGGCGGACGGGUGAGUAACACGUGGAUAACCUACCUAUAAGACUGGGAUAACUUCGGGAAACCGGAGCUAAUACCGGAUAAUAUAUUGAACCGCAUGGUUCAAUAGUGAAAGACGGUUUUGAUGUCACUUAUAGAUGGAUCCGCGCCGCAUUAGCUAGUUGGUAAGGUAACGGCUUACCAAGGCAACGAUGCGUAGCCGACCUGAGAGGGUGAUCGGCCACACUGGAACUGAGACACGGUCCAGACUCCUACGGGAGGCAGCAGUAGGGAAUCUUCCGCAAUGGGCGAAAGCCUGACGGAGCAACGCCGCGUGAGUGAUGAAGGUCUUCGGAUCGUAAAACUCUGUUAUUAGGGAAGAACAAAUGUGUAAGUAACUAUGCACGUCUUGACGGUACCUAAUCAGAAAGCCACGGCUAACUACGUG
RNAcentral lists this ribosomal RNA (496 nucleotides) under uncultured bacterium. RNAcentral describes it as "partial 16S ribosomal RNA". It matches the Rfam family "Bacterial small subunit ribosomal RNA", at positions 29 to 507 of the family's 1533-position model. The record is from RNAcentral.